This 318-nucleotide ribosomal RNA is filed under the name uncultured bacterium. RNAcentral's name for it is "bacterial SSU rRNA". It matches the Rfam family "Bacterial small subunit ribosomal RNA", at positions 28 to 334 of the family's 1533-position model. The record is from RNAcentral.
GACGAACGCUGGCGGCAUGCCUAAUACAUGCAAGUCGAGCGAAUGAUGAAGAAGCUUGCUUCUUCUGAUUUAGCGGCGGACGGGUGAGUAACACGUGGGCAACCUGCCCUGUAGAUUGGGAUAACUCCGGGAAACCGGGGCUAAUACCGAAUAAUCCAUUUCCUCUCAUGGGGAGAUGUUAAAAGAUGGUUUCGGCUGUCACUACAGGAUGGGCCCGCGGCGCAUUAGCUAGUUGGUGAGGUAACGGCUCACCAAGGCGACGAUGCGUAGCCGACCUGAGAGGGUGAUCGGCCACACUGGGACUGAGACACGGCCCAG